This 227-nucleotide long non-coding RNA is filed under the name Vigna radiata. RNAcentral describes it as "long non-coding RNA (VRAD_LNC013924)". The record is from RNAcentral. Lineage: Eukaryota; Viridiplantae; Streptophyta; Magnoliopsida; Fabales; Fabaceae.
UUGGACCAUUACAUCCACCAUCAAUAAAUUGUCUCACUCUAUGAUCUCAUUUGCAUCAAUUAUGAAUUGACAUUUCUGAGGGAAAUUUAAACCCUGUUUACCUGGAUAGGAUUUUUAAAAAUCCAAUCUAAUGAUUUAUAUUUUAGAUCUAAAUCUAUACUUUUUCUUUUAGAUUUCCAAACUCUAGAGGAAUUGGUCCUGUUAACUGAUUCAUUCUUAGAUCAAGC